AUUGAACGCUGGCGGCAGGCCUAACACAUGCAAGUCGAGCGGAUGAAGGGAGCUUGCUCCUGGAUUCAGCGGCGGACGGGUGAGUAAUGCCUAGGAAUCUGCCUGGUAGUGGGGGAUAACGUCCGGAAACGGGCGCUAAUACCGCAUACGUCCUGAGGGAGAAAGUGGGGGAUCUUCGGACCUCACGCUAUCAGAUGAGCCUAGGUCGGAUUAGCUAGUUGGUGGGGUAAAGGCCUACCAAGGCGACGAUCCGUAACUGGUCUGAGAGGAUGAUCAGUCACACUGGAACUGAGACACGGUCCAGACUCCUACGGGAGGCAGCAGUGGGGAAUAUUGGACAAUGGGCGAAAGCCUGAUCCAGCCAUGCCGCGUGUGUGAACAAGGUCUUCGGAUUGUAAAGCACUUUAAGUUGGGAGGAAGGGCAGUAAGUUAAUACCUUGCUGUUUUGACGUUACCAACAGAAUAAGCACCGGCUAACUUCGUG
RNAcentral lists this ribosomal RNA (484 nucleotides) under uncultured bacterium. Its description in RNAcentral is "partial 16S ribosomal RNA". It matches the Rfam family "Bacterial small subunit ribosomal RNA", at positions 30 to 507 of the family's 1533-position model. The record is from RNAcentral.